GGGACACGUGGUAUCCUGUCUGAAUAUGGGGGGACCAUCCUCCAAGGCUAAAUACUCCUGACUGACCGAUAGUGAACCAGUACCGUGAGGGAAAGGCGAAAAGAACCCCGGCGAGGGGAGUGAAAAAGAACCUGAAACCGUGUACGUACAAGCAGUGGGAGCACGCUUAGGCGUGUGACUGCGUACCUUUUGUAUAAUGGGUCAGCGACUUAUAUUCUGUAGCAAGGUUAACCGAAUAGGGGAGCCGAAGGGAAACCGAGUCUUAACUGGGCGUUAAGUUGCAGGGUAUAGACCCGAAACCCGGUGAUCUAGCCAUGGGCAGGUUGAAGGUUGGGUAACACUAACUGGAGGACCGAACCGACUAAUGUUGAAAAAUUAGCGGAUGACUUGUGGCUGGGGGUGAAAGGCCAAUCAAACCGGGAGAUAGCUGGUUCUCCCCGAAAGCUAUUUAGGUAGCGCCUCGUGAAUUCAUCUCCGGGGGUAGAGCACUGUUUCGGCAAGGGGGUCAUCCCGACUUACCAACCCGAUGCAAACUGCGAAUACCGGAGAAUGUUAUCACGGGAGACACACGGCGGGUGCUAACGUCCGUCGUGAAGAGGGAAACAACCCAGACCGCCAGCUAAGGUCCCAAAGUCAUGGUUAAGUGGGAAACGAUGUGGGAAGGCCCAGACAGCCAGGAUGUUGGCUUAGAAGCAGCCAUCAUUUAAAGAAAGCGUAAUAGCUCACUGGUCGAGUCGGCCUGCGCGGAAGAUGUAACGGGGCUAAACCAUGCACCGAAGCUGCGGCAGCGACGCUUAUGCGUUGUUGGGUAGGGGAGCGUUCUGUAAGCCUGUGAAGGUGUGCUGUGAGGCAUGCUGGAGGUAUCAGAAGUGCGAAUGCUGACAUAAGUAACGAUAAAGCGGGUGAAAAGCCCGCUCGCCGGAAGACCAAGGGUUCCUGUCCAACGUUAAUCGGGGCAGGGUGAGUCGACCCCUAAGGCGAGGCCGAAAGGCGUAGUCGA
Molecule: ribosomal RNA, 1000 nt
Filed under: Escherichia coli
Lineage: Bacteria; Pseudomonadati; Pseudomonadota; Gammaproteobacteria; Enterobacterales; Enterobacteriaceae
Description: partial 23S ribosomal RNA
Rfam family: Bacterial large subunit ribosomal RNA
Source: RNAcentral